Molecule: non-coding RNA, 734 nt
Organism: Leptonychotes weddellii (Weddell seal)
Lineage: Eukaryota; Metazoa; Chordata; Mammalia; Carnivora; Phocidae
Source: RefSeq, a predicted model, not a curated record
UAGUCCCUCCUGGCUUCCCGUUCUCCAGGCCCGGCGGGCGAGGUUAGCCGAGGCCGCCAUAUUGAAUAAGCAACCCGGCCUCUGAGGGGGUUGGUGCGGUACAGGCAGUUCUGCAGAGCAGCUUCGGCGUUUCCAGGGAGAAGCAAUAUGUUAAGGAUACCUCUAAAAAGGGCCUUAGUAGGCCUUUCUAAGUCUUCUAAAGGAUGUGUUCGAACAACUGCCACAGCAGCAAGCAACUUAAUUGAAGUAUUUGUUGAUGGUCAAUCUGUCAUGGUGGAACCAGGAACUACCGUCCUUCAAGUAGGCAUAUGUUCUAAUUCUUUAUUUUUGCGUAUGUUCUGGUUUUUUAAGGAAUAUCAAUUUAUUUCCUUAAUACUGUUUAUUUACUUCUAAAAAUUUUAAGAUUCCUUGAUAAAUGCUCAUAAAAGAACUAUAGAUAGUAAAAUUAUAUGAAAAUAAGUUGGAUUUAAAAUCUUGGCAUUUCAAAGUGAGCUAUCAUUUAUCUGUUUCUGACUUUCUUAGUGAAUUAUGGUAGUUAUUUUGUUUCACUUCUGCUUUCCAAGUAAAUGCCUACUAGAAAUUUGAAGUUACCAAAAAUAAAUUAUAAGUUAAUAUAGGUAAGUUUGGAGAAAAGGCAGUCUUUGUUGUGAACCUGCUUGAUGCUUUUCACUUCAUAUAACUUCUCAAUUUUUAUAACAUUUCUUUUUUUUUUUUUUUAAAGAUUUUAUUUAUUU